This 708-nucleotide ribosomal RNA is filed under the name Shewanella frigidimarina. RNAcentral describes it as "bacterial SSU rRNA". It matches the Rfam family "Bacterial small subunit ribosomal RNA", at positions 53 to 757 of the family's 1533-position model. The record is from RNAcentral. Lineage: Bacteria; Pseudomonadati; Pseudomonadota; Gammaproteobacteria; Alteromonadales; Shewanellaceae.
ACAUCCAUCUUUACGGUACACAAGGGGAGCUUGCUCCUGAGUGACAGCGGCGGACGGGUGAGUAAUGCCUAGGGAUCUGCCCAGUCGAGGGGGAUAACAGUUGGAAACGACUGCUAAUACCGCAUACGCCCUACGGGGGAAAGGAGGGGACCUUCGGGCCUUCCGCGAUUGGAUGAACCUAGGUGGGAUUAGCUAGUUGGUGAGGUAAUGGCUCACCAAGGCGACGAUCCCUAGCUGUUCUGAGAGGAUGAUCAGCCACACUGGGACUGAGACACGGCCCAGACUCCUACGGGAGGCAGCAGUGGGGAAUAUUGCACAAUGGGGGAAACCCUGAUGCAGCCAUGCCGCGUGUGUGAAGAAGGCCUUCGGGUUGUAAAGCACUUUCAGUAGGGAGGAAAGGUAAUANUUUAAUAAACUAUUACUGUGACGUUACCUACAGAAGAAGGACCGGCUAACUCCGUGCCAGCAGCCGCGGUAAUACGGAGGGUCCGAGCGUUAAUCGGAAUUACUGGGCGUAAAGCGUGCGCAGGCGGUUUGUUAAGCCAGGAUGUGAAAUCCCCGGGCUCAACCUGGGAAUUGCAUUUGGAACUGGCGAACUAAGUCUUGUAGAGGGGGGUAGAAUUCCAGGUGUAGCGGUGAAUGCGUAAUUUCUGGAGGAAUACGGUGGCNAAGGCGGCCCCCUGGACAAGACUGACGCUCAUGCACGAA